AUGUGCUUUGGGGUGCUAACUAUAGUUUUAAAAAAUAAGUUAUACUUAGAAAUACUUCCCAGUAUAUUUAAUAUGAGCUAAUUUGCAGUGUUACAGUACUUAGUUAUAUGCUUUAUUUGGGGGUGUUACUCAGUAUGUGGGUUAUGUGCUGGGUUUGGGGGUGUUACUCAGUAUGUGGGUUAUGUGCCGGGUUUGGGGGUGUUACUCAGUAUAUAGGUUAUGUGCUCGGUUUGGGGGUGUUACUCAGAAUGUGGGUUAUGUGCUCGGUUUGGGAGUGUUACUCAGUAUGUGGGUUAUGUGCUCGGUUUGGGGAUGUUACUCAGUAUGUGGGUUAUGUCCUUGGUUUGGGGGGUGUUACUCAGUAUGUGGGUUAUGUGCUCGGUUUGGGGAUGUUACUCAGUAUGUGAGUUAUGAGCUUGGUUUAGGGGUGUUAAUCAGUAUGUGGGUUAUGAGCUCGGUUUGGGGGUGUUACUCAGUAUGUGGGUUAUGUGCUGGGUUUGGGGGUGUUACUCAGUAUAUAGGUUAUGUGCUCGGUUUGGGGGUGUUACUCAGAAUGUGGGUUAUGUCCUUGGUUUGGGGGGUGUUACUCAGUAUGUGGGUUAUGUCCUUGGUUUGGGGGGUGUUACUCAGUAUGUGGGUUAUGAGUUUGGUUUAGGGGUGGCACAAGAGUUUUGUCACUUCCAUCACAUUUUGUCAUUUCCCACAGCCAUUGCUAGUGAAAGAGCUGUUGGCAUAGGGCAUUCUCCCACUCAUCAUUAGACAAUAUCUAUGGAGGCUUCCAUGGUCCUGUGGGAUCUUCCAUAGACAUUAGACUGACAUGAACUCAUGGCAGACGAAGGCCAGAAACUGAAGAUAAAACAUGUCAGUGCCCGCAGGGGACAGAAUCAGGUAAGUAUAAUUUACCAUUACAUCACCCCUGGGCCAUCACAACACAUAAACCGAUGCCAC
Pelobates cultripes (western spadefoot toad) is the source of this 948-nucleotide non-coding RNA. The record is from the annotation of a GenBank genome assembly. Lineage: Eukaryota; Metazoa; Chordata; Amphibia; Anura; Pelobatidae.